GGCGUUGCCGUCUCUUUCUCUUCAUCCACCAUUCUCUUUUUGGAAAUCUCCCACAUCCUCCGGGCCAAACUCUCUCAGACCGAGCUCGAUCCGAGGGGAUCUUGAUCUCUCUUGUAUGGCAGCCAAUACGAAGGGGUCUUCCACUAUUUUCCAUCGAAAAAGGUCGCCGGACCUAGAUUUUAGCACCGCCGGCCACCGAGUUUCGCCGAGGAUUGCGGUCGCCGGAGGUCGCAGUCGGCAAGGGAAGCUGGGUCAUCGCAUCUGCCACAUGCUGUUGUUGCCAGCGAGAGGGAAGCAAGAAGAGAGAGACAGAAAGAAGGAUUAUUUCCUCUUCUCUUCUCUCUACUUUCUCUCUCCUCUCUCUACUUUCUCUCUAUUUUCUCUACUUUCUCUCUCCUC
Phoenix dactylifera (date palm) is the source of this 399-nucleotide non-coding RNA. Lineage: Eukaryota; Viridiplantae; Streptophyta; Magnoliopsida; Arecales; Arecaceae. The record is from RefSeq and is a predicted model, not a curated record.